This 490-nucleotide ribosomal RNA is filed under the name uncultured bacterium. RNAcentral's name for it is "partial 16S ribosomal RNA". It matches the Rfam family "Bacterial small subunit ribosomal RNA", at positions 29 to 507 of the family's 1533-position model. The record is from RNAcentral.
AGUGAACGCUGGCGGUAGGCCUAACACAUGCAAGUCGAACGGCAGCACAGGAGAGCUUGCUCUCUGGGUGGCGAGUGGCGGACGGGUGAGGAAUACAUCGGAAUCUGCCCAGUCGUGGGGGAUAACGUAGGGAAACUUACGCUAAUACCGCAUACGACCUUCGGGUGAAAGAGGGGGAUCGCAAGACCUCUCGCGAUUGGAUGAGCCGAUGUCGGAUUAGCUAGUUGGCGGGGUAAUGGCCCACCAAGGCGACGAUCCGUAGCUGGUCUGAGAGGAUGAUCAGCCACACUGGAACUGAGACACGGUCCAGACUCCUACGGGAGGCAGCAGUGGGGAAUAUUGGACAAAGGGCGCAAGCCUGAUCCAGCCAUACCGCGUGGGCGAAGAAGGCCUUCGGGUUGUAAAGCCCUUUUGUUGGGAAAGAAAUCUUUCAGGCUAAUACCCUGGGAGGAUGACGGUACCCAAAGAAUAAGCACCGGCUAACUUCGUG